Molecule: small RNA, 138 nt
Filed under: Streptococcus hyovaginalis
Lineage: Bacteria; Bacillati; Bacillota; Bacilli; Lactobacillales; Streptococcaceae
Description: MarS sRNA
Rfam family: MarS sRNA
About the family: In MarS deletion strains expression of mga and several Mga-activated genes is reduced.
Source: RNAcentral
AUGCGAUGAGUCGAUUGUGGUUUAACCACUUUUGCGCUGGGAGGUCAUUAUGGCAGGAGCCGACCUUGGUAAGUUGUGUGAACCAGCUUACCUCACAUCUGAUGUGCCCUAUCCCUUGCUUUCUAGCGAGGGAUUUUU